CUAGCACCGGGGGCUCGAGGCCAAACUGGCAGGAGACACAGCGUUUUGGGGGCAAUGAAAAAUAAUUUCCUCCCGAAAAUGGGCCCCAGGGGAACCGGCUUGGCCCAAAGCAGAGCAGUGUGAGCCAUGCAGCAGGAAUUCCAAGGCAGGGUGACUGAGAACGUCAGAGGGAAAUGUCAAAGACAGACGGUGGCGUCAGGCUGCUGUACCCUGGAUCUGUUUACUCAAUGCCUGAUUAAACUGCACCAUGAAGGAAUUCAACGACCAGAGAGCAGCUGGCAGCACUCAUCCCGCUGUAGUUUCCACCAAAUCCCAAACUGCUGUGGAAGCGAGGCUAUACCACCUGUUCACCUGUCGCUGACUCACUGCGGCUCUAACUAACCUCUCCCACAGAGCGGGCGUGCCAGUGGGUGAGAAAAUAAAAGAGGAGGCAUACUGCGGUCAACAAAGCGUCCUUCUGCACCUCCUCCCGUGGGCUGAUUAAAGAGACGGCUUGUGCUAAUGGCUGCCUCACUCUCAGACCACAGGGGAGGACACAGAUAACUCAAAGAGGAGCAGAGAAGAACAAGUCCUCCCUCAUAAACAUAUCUAUAGGGCUUAAUUUGGGUUUAGGGUUCCUGUCAUAUGUAGUUUUACUGGAUUUGAAUCAUAUGGAGCUGCUAAUCCUUUUUAGUCGACUCUACAGUUCUUCUUAUGAUUUUGACCUCAUGCUGCAGCUCUAUGACAAAAAUAAAACUGACA
Molecule: long non-coding RNA, 741 nt
Organism: Oreochromis niloticus (Nile tilapia)
Lineage: Eukaryota; Metazoa; Chordata; Actinopteri; Cichliformes; Cichlidae
Exons: 3
Source: RefSeq, a predicted model, not a curated record